CAUAUAAUUAUGACAAUUAUAUUUCCAAGAUAUUCUGGGAUCUUUACAGUUUCAUAAUUUUGCUCUUUUUACUAUACAACACUCCUUUUAUUGAAACAAAUACAGAUUUUGGAGUCAGACAGACCUAGUCUGGAUUUGAAUUCCAGCUCUCCUUCUUACCAGCCUGGGGCCAUGGAGAAUGUUGUCCAUUUCCCUGAGCCUCAGUGUUCUUCUCUGUAAAAUGUGGAUGAUACCUGACUCCCAGGCAUUUUGCCAGGAUUACAUGGGAUUCCUACACAGUGCAAUGUCUAGUGAUAAUAUAAAUACUAAAAGCAACUUGUUAAAUGUAUAAAUAAAUGUGAUUUAUUUUUGCUCCUUUACAUACAGUAUCAUGGAUAUAAUUUGUAGAUGUGUGUACUGUGAAUACAAUGGCCACUUCUCUUGCUCCCA
Molecule: long non-coding RNA, 429 nt
Filed under: Homo sapiens (human)
Lineage: Eukaryota; Metazoa; Chordata; Mammalia; Primates; Hominidae
Description: novel transcript
Source: RNAcentral